Molecule: long non-coding RNA, 611 nt
Filed under: Elaeis guineensis (African oil palm)
Lineage: Eukaryota; Viridiplantae; Streptophyta; Magnoliopsida; Arecales; Arecaceae
Description: long non-coding RNA (EGUI_LNC047061)
Source: RNAcentral
GGUAUAACUGUCCCUCCGAUCUGAGACCGCCAUGGUGACUUGCAAGCAACUCACUGCACUUAGGCACUGGACUACCUGAAUUUCUAAUUCAGUGACGGAAGGAUGCUGGGUGUAGUCAAGUACUUGACUUGUCGGUGCGUGUGUCAAGAUGUGAUUGACCACUCCAGUUCAGGAGCUGUGUACAGUCGUGUUUCAAUUUAGCAAAACCUUGGCUAGGGUAGUCCUAGUGAGGAGUCACAGGACUGUUUGAGUUGAGCACGAUUCGGAUGAUCUGAUUAGGGUUGACAGUUUAACCCUGAGUCGUUUAAACACAGGGGUCAAAAGGGAUGAAUUAUACAGUAACCAUAUUCAUGUAGGUUCUGAGUGUUGCGAUUGAGACUAUUCGACCUAUCUGAAUGUCGGGUACCAUUGCUAGAUGGUCACUUCGAUUAGUACAGGAAUUGGUUCCUGUGCUACCGGCUUAGGUUCGAACCUGUGGGAUCACACACAUUAGAGGUUCCUAUCUGAUCUGAUGGCUGAUGAAGAGUCCUAAUACUCAUGGACUAUGAGUCCUAUAUGUCUGAGACUCUGUGAUUGAGAAUCAGGAUUCUCUGAUCAUGAGUCCCACACAU